Molecule: ribosomal RNA, 506 nt
Filed under: uncultured bacterium
Lineage: Bacteria
Description: partial 16S ribosomal RNA
Rfam family: Bacterial small subunit ribosomal RNA
Source: RNAcentral
AGUGAACGCUGGCGGUAGGCCUAACACAUGCAAGUCGAACGGCAGCACAGGAGAGCUUGCUCUCUGGGUGGCGAGUGGCGGACGGGUGAGGAAUACAUCGGAAUCUACUCUGUCGUGGGGGAUAACGUAGGGAAACUUACGCUAAUACCGCAUACGACCUACGGGUGAAAGCAGGGGAUCUUCGGACCUUGCGCGAUUGAAUGAGCCGAUGUCGGAUUAGCUAGUUGGCGGGGUAAAGGCCCACCAAGGCGACGAUCCGUAGCUGGUCUGAGAGGGUGAUCAGACACACAGGGACUGUGACACGCUCCAGACUCCUACGGGAGGCAGCAGUGGGGAAUAUUGGACAAUGGGCGCAAGCCUGAUUCAGCCAUACCGCGUGGGUGAAGAAGGCCUUCGGGUUGUAAAGCCCUUUUGUUGGGAAAGAAAUCCAGCUGGCUAAUACCCGGUUGGGAUGACGGUACCCAAAGAAUAAGCACCGGCUAACUUCGUGCCAGCAGCCGCCGUAA